Molecule: ribosomal RNA, 726 nt
Filed under: uncultured organism
Description: bacterial SSU rRNA
Rfam family: Bacterial small subunit ribosomal RNA
Source: RNAcentral
UCAGAACGAACGCUGGCGGCAGGCCUAACACAUGCAAGUCGAGCGAAGACUUCGGUCUUAGCGGCGGACGGGUGAGUAACGCGUGGGAACGUGCCCUUCACUACGGAAUAGUCCCGGGAAACUGGGUUUAGUACCGUAUACGCCCUUCGGGGGAAAGAAUUUCGGUGAAGGAUCGGCCCGCGUCUGAUUAGGUAGUUGGUGGGGUAAUGGCCUACCAAGCCUACGAUCAGUAGCUGGUUUGAGAGGAUGAUCAGCCACACUGGGACUGAGACACGGCCCAGACUCCUACGGGAGGCAGCAGUGGGGAAUCUUAGACAAUGGGGGAAACCCUGAUCUAGCCAUGCCGCGUGAGUGACGAAGGCCCUAGGGUCGUAAAGCUCUUUCACCCGUGAAGAUAAUGACGGUAGCGGGAGAAGAAACCCCGGCUAACUCCGUGCCAGCAGCCGCGGUAAUACGGAGGGGGUUAGCGUUGUUCGGAAUUACUGGGCGUAAAGCGCGCGUAGGCGGGCUGUUAAGUCGGGGGUGAAAUCCCGGGGCUCAACCCCGGAACUGCCUCCGAUACUGGCAGCCUAGAGUUCGAGAGAGGUGAGUGGAACUCCGAGUGUAGAGGUGAAAUUCGUAGAUAUUCGGAAGAACACCAGUGGCGAAGGCGGCUCACUGGCUCGAUACUGACGCUGAGGUGCGAAAGUGUGGGGAGCAAACAGGAUUAGAUACCCUGGUAGUCCA